Molecule: ribosomal RNA, 437 nt
Filed under: uncultured Oscillospiraceae bacterium
Lineage: Bacteria; Bacillati; Bacillota; Clostridia; Eubacteriales; Oscillospiraceae
Description: bacterial SSU rRNA
Rfam family: Bacterial small subunit ribosomal RNA
Source: RNAcentral
ACGGAAGGCAGCAGUGGGGAAUAUUGGGCAAUGGGCGAAAGCCUGACCCAGCGACGCCGCGUGAGGGAAGAAGGUCUUCGGAUUGUAAACCUUAGUCAACAGGGAAGAAGAAAGUGACGGUACCUGAUGAAUAAGCCACGGCUAACUACGUGCCAGCAGCCGCGGUAAUACGUAGGUGGCGAGCGUUAUCCGGAUUUACUGGGUGUAAAGGGCGCGUAGGCGGGGAUGCAAGUCAGAUGUGAAAUCCAUGGGCUUAACUCAUGAACUGCAUUUGAAACUGUAUCUCUUGAGUGUCGGAGAGGUAGAUGGAAUUCCUAGUGUAGUGGUGAAAUGCGUAGAUAUUAGGAGGAACACCAGUGGCGAAGGCGAUCUACUGGACGAUAACUGACGCUGAGGCGCGAAAGCGUGGGGAGCAAACAGGAUUAGAUACCCUGGUA